RNAcentral lists this ribosomal RNA (216 nucleotides) under Triticum aestivum (bread wheat). Its description in RNAcentral is "partial small subunit ribosomal RNA". The record is from RNAcentral. Lineage: Eukaryota; Viridiplantae; Streptophyta; Magnoliopsida; Poales; Poaceae.
AUGAGCUGGAACUGCCGAGGCCUCGGGCAACCUCGGACAGUUCAAGAACUCGUGUGCCUUGUUCACAUGUACAAGCCCAAGCUCGUCUUCCUCACUGAAACUCGGCAAAAUAAUAAGUACGUCUCAAAUCUCAAGUGGAGGCUAGGCCUUCGUCAUUGUAUCAUGCAAUCCGGCACUGGUAAAGGUGCCGGCAUUGCCCUAUUCUAUGAUGAUAGU